AGAAGGAUUGGUGUAGUCACUGCUAAUGAUUUUCUGUCAAUUUGGUUUGACUUCUUCUU
Molecule: transfer RNA, 59 nt
Filed under: Dipylidium caninum
Lineage: Eukaryota; Metazoa; Platyhelminthes; Cestoda; Cyclophyllidea; Dipylidiidae
Description: tRNA-Ser
Source: RNAcentral